RNAcentral lists this ribosomal RNA (274 nucleotides) under uncultured bacterium. RNAcentral's name for it is "partial 16S ribosomal RNA". It matches the Rfam family "Bacterial small subunit ribosomal RNA", at positions 523 to 796 of the family's 1533-position model. The record is from RNAcentral.
AUACGGAGGGUGCAAGCGUUAUCCGGAAUCAUUGGGUUUAAAGGGUCCGCAGGCGGUCAAUUAAGUCAGAGGUGAAAGCCCAUCGCUCAACGAUGGAACUGCCUUUGAUACUGGUUGACUUGAGUUAUACGGAAGUAGAUAGAAUAAGUAGUGUAGCGGUGAAAUGCAUAGAUAUUACUUAGAAUACCGAUUGCGAAGGCAGUCUACUACGUAUAUACUGACGCUGAGGGACGAAAGCGUGGGGAGCGAACAGGAUUAGAAACCCGAGUAGUCC